This 443-nucleotide ribosomal RNA is filed under the name uncultured bacterium. Its description in RNAcentral is "bacterial SSU rRNA". It matches the Rfam family "Bacterial small subunit ribosomal RNA", at positions 958 to 1401 of the family's 1533-position model. The record is from RNAcentral.
AACGCGAAGAACCUUACCUGGGCUCGAAGCGCAGUGGACCGGGGUAGAAAUAUCCCUUCCCCUUAAAAGGCUGCUGCGUAGGUGCUGCAUGGCUGUCGUCAGCUCGUGUCGUGAGAUGUUGGGUUAAGUCCCGCAACGAGCGCAACCCUUAUCCCUAGUUGCCAUCGGGUCAAGCCGGGCACUCUAGUGAAACCGCCUGGGAUAACCAGGAGGAAGGUGGGGAUGACGUCAAGUCCUCAUGGCCUUUAUGUCCAGGGCUACACACGUGCUACAAUGGCCGGUACAAACCGUCGCAAACCCGUGAGGGGGAGCUAAUCGGAAAAAGCCGGCCUCAGUUCGGAUUGGAGUCUGCAACUCGACUCCAUGAAGCUGGAAUCGCUAGUAAUCGCGGAUCAGAACGCCGCGGUGAAUACGUUCCCGGGCCUUGUACACACCGCUACAGU